UUCCCUUUGUCAUCCUAUGCCUGGAAAUCAGAGUGGGGCAGGGACAGCAAAGGGAUGC
RNAcentral lists this microRNA precursor (58 nucleotides) under Sarcophilus harrisii (Tasmanian devil). Its description in RNAcentral is "Sha-Mir-204-P1_pre stem-loop". It matches the Rfam family "mir-204 microRNA precursor family", at positions 16 to 74 of the family's 89-position model. The record is from RNAcentral. Lineage: Eukaryota; Metazoa; Chordata; Mammalia; Dasyuromorphia; Dasyuridae. RNAcentral also lists the same sequence under 1 other name.